GAUGAACGCUGGCGGCGUGCCUAACACAUGCAAGUCGAACGGAGUCCAGCCUUAGAGACCUUCGGGUCAAAGAGGGGAAGACUGAGUGGCGGACGGGUGAGUAACACGUGGGCAACCUGGCUCAUAGAGGGGGAUAACAGAGAGAAAUUUCUGCUAAUACCGCAUAAGCACACACUGCCGCAUGGCAGAGUGUGAAAAGAGAAUCGCUAUGAGAUGGACCCGCGUCUGAUUAGCCAGUUGGCAGGGUAAGAGCCUACCAAAGCGACGAUCAGUAGCCGAUUUGAGAGGAUGAACGGCCACAUUGGGACUGAGACACGGCCCAAAAUCCUACGGGAGGCAGCAGUGGGGGAUAUUGCACAAUGGGGGGAACCCUGAUGCAGCGACGCCGCGUGAGUGAAGAAGUAUUUCGGUAUGUAAAGCUCUAUCAGCAGGGAAGAUAAUGACAGUACCUGAAUAAGAAGCCCCGGCUAACUACGUG
This 478-nucleotide ribosomal RNA is filed under the name uncultured bacterium. RNAcentral describes it as "partial 16S ribosomal RNA". It matches the Rfam family "Bacterial small subunit ribosomal RNA", at positions 28 to 507 of the family's 1533-position model. The record is from RNAcentral.